GACGAACGCUGGCGGCGUGCUUAACACAUGCAAGUCGAACGAAGAGCGACGGAAGCUUGCUUCUAUCAAUCUUAGUGGCGAACGGGUGAGUAACGCGUAAUCAACCUGCCCUUCAGAGGGGGACAACAGUUGGAAACGACUGCUAAUACCGCAUACGAUCUAAUCUCGGCAUCGAGGAUAGAUGAAAGGUGGCCUCUACAUGUAAGCUAUCACUGAAGGAGGGGAUUGCGUCUGAUUAGCUAGUUGGAGGGGUAACGGCCCACCAAGGCGAUGAUCAGUAGCCGGUCUGAGAGGAUGAACGGCCACAUUGGGACUGAGACACGGCCCAGACUCCUACGGGAGGCAGCAGUGGGGAAUCUUCCGCAAUGGACGAAAGUCUGACGGAGCAACGCCGCGUGAGUGAUGACGGCCUUCGGGUUGUAAAGCUCUGUUAAUCGGGACGAAAGGCCUUCUUGCGAACAGUUAGAAG
This 469-nucleotide ribosomal RNA is filed under the name Veillonella parvula. RNAcentral's name for it is "bacterial SSU rRNA". It matches the Rfam family "Bacterial small subunit ribosomal RNA", at positions 28 to 474 of the family's 1533-position model. Lineage: Bacteria; Bacillati; Bacillota; Negativicutes; Veillonellales; Veillonellaceae. The record is from RNAcentral.